This 310-nucleotide long non-coding RNA is filed under the name Homo sapiens (human). Its description in RNAcentral is "HSALNT0152619". Lineage: Eukaryota; Metazoa; Chordata; Mammalia; Primates; Hominidae. The record is from RNAcentral.
CCUCCCCAGGCCUGAGCUCACCACAGGUCUUUGCCUGCACCACCAGAUUCUAGGAUCUUCAGGGGUAAAGAGGGAGCUUUUUUCACCUUUCUAUCCCCAGCCCUCUCUGCAGUGACAGGAACACAAACUUUUCUCUUCCAGUAUGGACUGGUGUUUCCUUAGGCCAGCUAUAGGGCUGUCAUCAACCUAGGGUUCUUCUCCAUCAACCCUGGAGUUCUCGUUUUUGAUGGAUAUCCUGUUCCUGUGUCCUACAUCUUCCUCAUUCCUGGUAUGUUUUCUUGCUUGAUGACACACAACCUCCACCAGCUUC